RNAcentral lists this ribosomal RNA (484 nucleotides) under uncultured bacterium. RNAcentral describes it as "partial 16S ribosomal RNA". It matches the Rfam family "Bacterial small subunit ribosomal RNA", at positions 30 to 507 of the family's 1533-position model. The record is from RNAcentral.
AUUGAACGCUGGCGGCAGGCCUAACACAUGCCAGUCGAGCGGAUGAAGGGAGCUUGCUCCUGGAUUCAGCGGCGGACGGGUGAGUAAUGCCUAGGAAUCUGCCUGGUAGUGGGGGAUAACGUCCGGAAACGGGCGCUAAUACCGCAUACGUCCUGAGGGAGAAAGUGGGGGAUCUUCGGACCUCACGCUAUCAGAUGAGCCUAGGUCGGAUUAGCUAGUUGGUGGGGUAAAGGCCUACCAAGGCGACGAUCCGUAACUGGUCUGAGAGGAUGAUCAGUCACACUGGAAGUGAGACACGGUCCAGACUCCUACGGGAGGCAGCAGUGGGGAAUAUUGGACAAUGGGGGAAAGCCUGAUCCAGCCAUGCCGCGUGUGUGAAGAAGGUCUUCGGAUUGUAAAGCACGUUAAGUUGGGAGGAAGGGCAGUAAGUUAAUACCUUGCUGUUUUGACGUUACCAACAGAAUAAGCACCGGCUAACUUCGUG